RNAcentral lists this ribosomal RNA (464 nucleotides) under uncultured bacterium. RNAcentral's name for it is "partial 16S ribosomal RNA". It matches the Rfam family "Bacterial small subunit ribosomal RNA", at positions 29 to 507 of the family's 1533-position model. The record is from RNAcentral.
ACGCACGCUGGCGGCGUGCUUCACCCCUGCCAGUCGCACGGAAAGGCCCUGCUUGCAGGGUACUCGAGUGGCGAACGGGUGAGUAACACGUGGGUGAUCUGCCCUGCACUUCGGGAUAAGCCUGGGAAACUGGGUCUAAUACCGGAUAGGAGCCAUUUUUAGUGUGAUGGUUGGAAAGUUUUUUCGGUGUAGGAUGAGCUCGCGGCCUAUCAGCUUGUUGGUGGGGUAAUGGCCUACCAAGGCGGCGACGGGUAGCCGGCCUGAGAGGGUGGACGGCCACAGUGGGACUGAGAUACGGCCCAGACUCCUACGGGAGGCAGCAGUGGGGAAUAUUGCACAAUGGGCGCAAGCCUGAUGCAGCGACGCCGCGGGGGGGAUGACGGCCUUCGGGUUGGAAACUCCUUUCGCUAGGGACGAAGCUUUUUGUGACGGUACCUAGAGAAGAAGCACCGGCUAACUACGUG